Molecule: ribosomal RNA, 294 nt
Filed under: uncultured Archaeosporaceae
Lineage: Eukaryota; Fungi; Glomeromycota; Glomeromycetes; Archaeosporales; Archaeosporaceae
Description: partial 18S ribosomal RNA
Rfam family: Eukaryotic small subunit ribosomal RNA
Source: RNAcentral
GGGAGGUAGUGACAAUAAAUAACAAUACAGGGCCUUUACAGGUCUUGUAAUUGGAAUGAGUACAAUUUAAAUCUCUUAACGAGGAACAAUUGGAGGGCAAGUCUGGUGCCAGCAGCCGCGGUAAUUCCAGCUCCAAUAGCGUAUAUUAAAGUUGUUGCAGUUAAAAAGCUCGUAGUUGAAUUUUGGAUUCUUCCAAUUGGUCCAUCUUUUAGAUGAGUACUGGUUGUGUGGGGUCUAUCCGCCUGGUGAUACGUAAUGUCCUUUAUUGGAUGUUGCGGGUAGUCAGGACCUUUA